This 253-nucleotide ribosomal RNA is filed under the name uncultured bacterium. RNAcentral's name for it is "partial 16S ribosomal RNA". It matches the Rfam family "Bacterial small subunit ribosomal RNA", at positions 524 to 776 of the family's 1533-position model. The record is from RNAcentral.
UACGAAGGGGGCGAGCGUUGUUCGGAUUUACUGGGCGUAAAGGGCGCGCAGGCGGCUUUUCAAGUCAGGCGUGAAAGCCCCGGGCUUAACCUGGGAACUGCGUCUGGGACUGAGAGGCUAGAGUUCGGGAGAGGAGAGUGGAAUUCCCAGUGUAGAGGUGAAAUUCGUAGAUAUUCGCAAGAGCACCAGUGGCGAAGGCGGCUCACUGGCCCGAUACUGACGCUGAGGCACGAAAGCGUGGGGAGCAAACAGG